Molecule: ribosomal RNA, 436 nt
Filed under: uncultured bacterium
Lineage: Bacteria
Description: partial 16S ribosomal RNA
Rfam family: Bacterial small subunit ribosomal RNA
Source: RNAcentral
GAGCGAACGCUGGCGGCAGGCUUAACACAUGCAAGUCGAGCGGGCAUCUUCGGAUGUCAGCGGCAGACGGGUGAGUAACACGUGGGAACGUACCCUUCGGUUCGGAACAACUCUGGGAAACUGGAGCUAAUACCGGAUACGCCCUUAUGGGGAAAGGUUUACUGCCGAAGGAUCGGCCCGCGUCUGAUUAGCUAGUUGGUGGGGUAACGGCCUACCAAGGCGACGAUCAGUAGCUGGUCUGAGAGGAUGAUCAGCCACACUGGGACUGAGACACGGCCCAGACUCCUACGGGAGGCAGCAGUGGGGAAUAUUGGACAAUGGGCGCAAGCCUGAUCCAGCCAUGCCGCGUGAGUGAUGAAGGCCUUAGGGUUGUAAAGCUCUUUUGUCCGGGACGAUAAUGACGGUACCAGAAGAAUAAGCCCCGGCUAACUUCGUG